This 6224-nucleotide long non-coding RNA is filed under the name Sus scrofa (pig). RNAcentral's name for it is "lncRNA (ENSSSCG00055017599.1)". Lineage: Eukaryota; Metazoa; Chordata; Mammalia; Artiodactyla; Suidae. The record is from RNAcentral.
UUUUUUUUUUUUCAUGGAGCAUCCAUAUCUCUACCUUCUGCCUCUAGAACUCAGCAUAAAACAUAGCACGAUACUGAGGAAUGGAAUUAAAACUACUGUUCAAAGAAUGAUUUCAAGAACAUGUUGCAACAGCUAUGCUCUGAGCACCAAAAAUGUGCCUUCAGAAACCCAGUACAGUACCAGCCCCUUGUGACAAGGAGCACAAUGGGAGACGGUCACCCCGUUGUCCUACCUGCCCCUUCUCUGCCAGUCGGGGUUCCUCCUGGAUCUAUACGCAUAGGGGAAAUCACAUAGGCGGUAAAUUUCACAAAUUCUAAUAUUACAGGAUUUUAGUAAUCUCUUCCCAGUUUGGAAUUCCUAUUAAAUGCAGUUCUAGUUUAGGUCAGUUUACUUCUUUAUAUUCCUAGAAAACCUCCGGGACUUCUGUUUUAAGUUAUGUGUUAUAUUUUAUCAAUAAUAAUGUUUCUUAUGAUUUAAUAAGAAUAUACCAAGAGUUGUAUUAAGUGCAUGCUAUCAUCUGAACUUUUGUGUCUCCCCAAAUUCAGAUGCUAAAAUCAUAUCCCCCAAAGGUGAUGGUGUUAGCAGGUGGAGCUUUGGGAGGUACAGAAGUCAUGAUAUAGAACCUUCAUGAAAGAAAUAUGUGCUUUAUAAAAGAGGCUCCAGAGAUCCUUAGCCCACUUCUACCAUAUGCGGACAAUGAAAAGGUUCCAGCUGUGAACCAGGAAGGUGGCCCUUACCCAAGCUUCCUGGCACCCUGACCUUGGACUUCCUAACCUUUGAAACUGCUAGAAAGAAAUUUCGGUUGCUUAUGAGCUACCCAGUAUUUUGUUAUAGCGGCUCACAUAGAAGGAGAUAGUGCAUUUCGUGUUUAAUCUCACGUAACUCUAAAAAUGUUUAAAGAUAGAUACAAUAAAAUUCCAUGGCAAAAAUACCCCACGGUAACACGAUUUCAUACGAUACAAUUGGCAAUUUUCUCUCGCCCAACCCCAUUUUUAGAUAGACAGUGGUAGGAUAAAGUUUUUAGUUUCUGCAGGUGAGAUUGGGCAAUGAAAUAUCAGACAACCUUGUCUGGGUGUUAGAGAGGCUAAGGAUGUGUCCCUGAAUUUCCAACAUUCUCCUGGCUCAACAGGCUGAGACAAGAGAGACCACAGGGAAGGGCAGGAAAUUCCAGUGAUUCAGUGGGAUGCAGAAUCUCCCCAUCGAUAUUUAAGCUGCAGGGGAUACUUGCCACCAGAGGAUGCUAAAUCGAAGUCAGAAGCCAGACAGGUUUAGAAUGCCUAGGAUGGACUCUUCUACCUUCUAGCCAGCCUACUGAAAAAGACUCACUCCAAUUAUUUCCCUAAGGCAACCCCUUGUUUUAUGUGAUUAAAUUUUCGUGCCCACUUAUCCUGUUAUGGCAGUCGUCACUAUUCUAUCAUGCUUUUGUUAUACUGUAGGAAAACAAGAUUCAGAGAAGUAAUAUUGCUCAAAGGGGCAGUAGGUAACAGAUCUGGACAACGAACAGGGGUAGGUCCCCCUCCAAAGCCCACAUCUGGCAUCACUACAACCAUGACUCCUAAACAGGAUGAUCUCUGAGCAGGUCCCACCCAUGUGUCUGACGCUGUGCGGAGCACUUUGUAUGCAUAUGUCACUUAAUUCUUAAAAUCACCCAGCAGAACUGAAGUAGAAUUUCCCUAUUGUACAGAUACUGAAACCGAAGCUAUCUAUGUUCAGUAACUGGUGUAAGAAUUCACAUCUGCUAAAGGUCAGAGACAAGGCUCAAGAUUAGAUCUCUAUGACUACAGAGAUGCUGGGAGGUCAUGGAGGAUGAGCCCGAGGAAAGAGUUAAGAGUUAAUUUUCAGGCAAAACAAGAAUGACGGUUUUUUCAAAUAAGUAUUGAGAGAGAAAAAGGGAAUUUUUCGCAAGCUAUGCCCUCACUCUUGUACCUUCAAAGGCAGGAGGUGGGGAUGGGGUGUAAAGAAGUUGACACCAUAUGAUUUGAGUCUGCAUCUUGGGCACAUACAGGGACCCAGGAGGUCAACCUAAGUAACUCUGGGCCAUAAAAUCAGAACAGCCCUGAUUAUCUAGAUGGAGGACCAGGCACAGAAAAGCUAAAUUCCUCUUAGCACACACUUGCCUAUAAUAAAGUAAAACAAAUACAAAAUCUAAAAAUUUAUCCUAAGGAAGAGACAGUGCAUGGAAUUGACUUGCUCAAUCCUCCUAUUUUAAGAUGGAGAUGAGUAAGACGUCAUUGACAUGGCCAUCUGUAUUGAUUUAAUGAUUUUAUUGAAUAUAAAGUACUUCUGAGGGUCUCUACAACUUUAGCCAACACUUCUUCUAAACAACACUUUUUCUUAGACUAACUAAAGAUCUUGAACUGUCUUCAAAUAGGAAAUCAAGAAUAGCCGUAAGUAUUUGUCAGGACUUAAUGCUGCAUUUAGGGAUAGGCCGCUGCUCUUGCACCUAUUUUGAGGGAGGCUUAUGCUCUCAAGUACUUUGAAUGCUGUGCAGGUAUUCAGCAGCCUGCUGGGAGGCGGGGUCUGAAUACAGCUGUGCGAAGUUGGACCAGCAUCCCUGCUACGCCCUGUCAAGCUGCAUCCAUCGGAUUAGGUUAGGAGUUAAGAUGUUACUCAAUGUGACCAAUGGGAUCAGAAGCAAUAACACAACCUGUCAGCUAGUGCCUUCCUGACAAUUUCAGGGUAAGGAGAUUGCUUCCUGCAGUUCCGAGCAGGGAAGGGGUACACAUGGCAUGGGAGAGUGGUCGUGGGGUGUCUAUUUGGUUUCUUAUUUACAAUAGUGGUGCUUGGUGGGAAAGGAGUGAUAAGUCAGUCUUAUUUUCCUAGGCUUAUUUUAGGAUUUUUCUUGUAAGCUGUAAUACUAAGACUUUUCUUAUAGAACAAGAGUCACAAGAGCUUACAGGCUGCAUUUCAGGGGCUGGAGGGUCUCCUGAGAGCAAGGCCAGAGAGAAUUUUGAGGUCUUCUCUUUCAUAAGGGUCACUUCCACCAACCCUGCAUUCAGACAAGGCCAGCAAAUGUAAUUGAGGGUUGAGGAAACCAGACGCCAGCUAGGAAGUGAUUGAAUCUUGCCUUCUAUUUGCUGGCCUUGGGGCCAUGGGGCUAGCCUCAGUUUGGUGCCCAUGAAUACCCUGAGAUAGGCAAACAGGAAGCAGCAGCAGCUUGGCUCCCGUCUGAACCAUGUAGAUGAUACCCUUGAAUGCGUCUGCUAGGAAUGACUCACAAACAUAUCACCUGACACUUCAGCGGUAGAAAAUGCAAAUGAGGAAGGACUCUUCAGAGAGCGAGUUCUCAGAAGUGUGAUGACCUCCAAACUUGCAAGGGAUCAUUGCCCACGAAUUCCUAAGCACUGUAUGAUUCUCUGUCCCUUCUUCUAACAUCAAGCCUUCCUGAUACACAUCAACUACACACAGAGAGCCAGAGAAGCAAAAUAAAGACUUCAUUUUAUUUGGGUGAAUCAUCCUGAAUUCUCCUUGUUUGUUCAAGUCUAGGUCCACACCUGUUCCUUUUAUUGUUUGUGUUUUUGUUUUGUUUUGUUUUUCUUCGUCUUUUUAGAGAAGUCCCUAGGCUGGGGCAGAAUCAGAGCUGCAGCUGCAGGCCUAUGCCACAGCCACAGAAACAUGGUAUCUGAGCUGCAUCUGUGACCUACGCUGCAGCUUGCAGGAAUGUCAGAUUCUUAACCCACUGAGCAAGGCGAGGGAUCAAACCCCCAUGCUCAAGGAUACGAGUCAGAUUCUUAACCUGAUGAGUCACAAUGGGAACUCCAAAUCUUCUCCUUUGAUAUUGCACAGCCAAUACUCAGUAUCUCAGUGUCACUACUGAGAAAAUUGGUUUUGGAACCAUAUUAUCUGAGUUUAAAUCCCAAUUCAACAGCUUUCUAGUUGUGUGACCCUAGAAAAGCUACUUGAAUUCCCUGUGCAAGAUGGGGAUGCUAUUAGCAUCAUUCUCAUUUAAAUGAGUUAAUUUGUAAACAUUCUUCAGUGUCUGGUACUUAAAUGGUAAGUACUCCAUAAAUACUAGACAUUCUAUUCUGACCCUGGGCUCUGCCUCCUCUUUCUUCUUCUGAAGCUAAGUCUUGCUCUUCAGACUUAGUGUUUAUAUUUGGAUUGUGUUGCUUAAAACCUGAUUGUUCUCUCAAGGACAUUGGCUUGGAGCUCCAACGAUUUGGACUGAAUACUGAGAUAACAUUUCUCUUUCUAGCCAGCCUUUGAGAAAUCUGAUUUCAGGCAUUAGCCUUCCAAAGAAGCCAGUUUUCUGAAAUCAGGCAUGAUUUCACCACCCAGAUCUCUGUGGCAGGCAACUAAAUCUAUUCAUUUGGAAGCUUCUUGAUGCAUGUCAUAUCUUGGUUCUUCCUCCCAUAAACUGGCGCUUUGGAUUGGCUCUCCUCAAAUGACUGUAUUUCUAAGGCACAUGGAAGAUACUCAGUGUUUCUGAUCAUCUUUCCAGUUAUUUUUCUAAGCCUAAUUAACCGGUUAUGGAGUGCUUUCAACUUCCAUUUUGUAAGAGCAGGUUCAGGUAUUGAUUUGCCCUGUGGCUGGGGGAGAGCUUCCCCAGAAACAGGACUCACCUCCCGACCUUCCUGAGAAACUUAUCCAUUUGGCAUUUCCUUGCGUUUACCACAUGUCCCAGUGGGCGUGGCUCUCUAUACACAAUACCACCUUGCAAGCUUCAACUCUGUCUGUUAAAUCUAGGCAAAUAAAACCCUUUGCAUGUUUUAUUUGCAUCUUUCCAUAGCACUUUAUUAGAAAUAAUAAAGUGCUAUGGAAAGAUGAUCUGGGAAGUACAAUCAGCAAUAACAAAUAUUGUAGCCACAUGCAAGAGUCAUGUAUGGAAACUAUGACCAUUAAAAAGUUCUGUAUGUUGUCCAGGUGGCAGAACACCUGGGAAUCACAGAACACCAUGAUCCUUGCACAGCCCCAGUAAAAAAAAGAUGCAGUUAAUCCUGGUAUCUGAACUAGGUAUGACUAGGUAUGACUUUUAUGAGCAGAAAAUAUGACUAGAUUGCUGUGUAUAAAUGCAACAGAAAACCAGAGCAAUAUAACUCAAAUCUAUAAAAAAAAAAAAAAAAACAACCUCAUGACCUAAGCAUGAUCACAUACUCCCGAGUAUUUCCCUUGACAUCAUUUACAACUCGUCAUUAAUGUGGUCAUUGACAGGUACACAGGAAGUCUAGUUAAGAGCAGGUCCCAAGUUUCAAGAGAAAACAGGGCAAGUAAAGUUUUUACAUGAGAAUUGUAUCCCCAUUAAGUUAUUCUUAUACAAAAGAAAAAGUCUGGUACUAUUUGAUUUUUGUAGAAGAAUAUUUUAGAACAAGAGGAGAAAUAGUUUUGCUGCCUUCAAUUGUCCCACGUCCUUAGAAAGUUGGGGAGAGGGAGAAGAGAUAGAGUAGGACAAUUUUCAUUAAGUUCUGAGUCAUUCUCUCAUAUUUCCCAUUCAAGUCUCUGCUAUCUUGGGCCACUCACUGAUCCAUUGGAUGACUCCGGGCUCUAACUGAAGUUGCCUUUCCUUGGCUACUCUCAGACUUGGGACCCCUGAUCUGUAGAAAAGGCCAUCUCCUAGUUCCUUCCAUGCUCCCUAAAAGAACACCAUCUCUUCUUAAAGCCAGCGCCAUGGAAAAGCCUGGUAUCACCUACAUCUUACGCCCGGGAUCUUCCUCUUCCCAAGCAUCUCCUUUUAGUUCCUUCACAAGUAGCCCUCCUUUUUCUUAGUUUGCCCUCUGCUUGCUCCUUAAAGCAUAAAGUUGUAGCUUGCCUUUUACUCUUGAUGGCCCAGGUUGGUGUUUUCCUAUUCAAUGGCAGAAUUUCCAUUGGAAUAGUACACAUAGGUUUCAGUAAUACCCACACACAUGAACCAAGGGAAUUAUUCCAAUGCCAAUGUGGUAUUCCCAAAGGACAUUUCGAUGCAUGGGGAAUUGGCAGUCCAUAGUCGGAUUGGGCUAGAAACUCAGCAUCUGCAAAAGGGAAGUUCUACAAGUGCCUGACAUUCCAAUAGCUCCUUUCUGGGAAUGAAGUGAAAGGCUGUGUCUUCCAUUGUGUCAUGUUUUUUUGUUACCCUGACCAUGACUCAUUGGACCAUGUGUUUGCACAACAGCUAUUGACAAAUAGCUGUAUGCUAGACACAGGGGAUCCAUGUACCUAAAUCUAAAGUUUCACAAAGGGACUCUUCCCACUAGAAUGUUCUAAAAUAGAUAGUGAGAAACCAACUUAACCUGACCUCUCUCUAUUGGGAA